GGCUCGUGACCGUUGGGGGCAGGGAGCUUAGGCACUAGCUGGGUCUGCAGAGAGCGGGAAAAAGGACGGUCAGUGAUUGGAUGCUUUGAAGGUAUGAGCGGCAAGAGUGGGAGAUUUUGAACCAAUUAGAGGAGGCAACAAGAAGACAGACCAAUCACAGGGUAACCCGAGCCCGGGGUGGAGGGGGAGGGCGGUUUUUGUGUCACCGGGCAGAUUGUCCGAAGACUCGAGAUGAAAAUUUUCUCAGCCGAGUUCACGUCGCAGGAGCUUGACCCUGGCCUUCGUUAACUGCUUUUUCUGGGUUUAAAAAUUUCCUCAGCAUUUUUUCUUUUGGAACAGAACUGAGAGGAAAAAUUUGAAAAGAAAUUUAUUGCGACGCUGGAGAAUAAAGGACAGAAUAUUAAAAUAUUUUCUUAUUUCAUAGGCCUGAGCCAGAGAUUCCAAAAUGGACAGCAAUGAUUUUCGUUUCAUGGACUUUAAAGAAACUGUUGAAAACCUAAUUGCAACAGACAUUUCACCUAACACACCUGAGGCAAUUGAUAGACUCUUCAUGGAUAUAGGAAAUAUCAACAGAGGGUCUAUGGCUGAAAUACAGGAUUGUCAGAUUGAAGAAAUGGCGGUAAACCUGUGGAACUGGGCAAUUACCAAUAAAAUGGAUUUGGUGAUAAAUGAAGAACAGAAAGCUAAAGGUAUGUAUACGUUUUGUAACUCAUACUAUGAGGAAUAUUCUUAUUGUACAUCAGAUUGUGUUCCUGUAAUUUAAAUAUUUUGAUCAGUUCUUAAGUGCAUAUUUAUUG
RNAcentral lists this long non-coding RNA (797 nucleotides) under Capra hircus (goat). RNAcentral's name for it is "lncRNA (ENSCHIG00000004158.1)". Lineage: Eukaryota; Metazoa; Chordata; Mammalia; Artiodactyla; Bovidae. The record is from RNAcentral.